This 550-nucleotide ribosomal RNA is filed under the name uncultured Funneliformis. RNAcentral's name for it is "SSU rRNA". It matches the Rfam family "Eukaryotic small subunit ribosomal RNA", at positions 548 to 1098 of the family's 1831-position model. The record is from RNAcentral. Lineage: Eukaryota; Fungi; Glomeromycota; Glomeromycetes; Glomerales; Glomeraceae.
UUGGAGGGCAAGUCUGGUGCCAGCAGCCGCGGUAAUUCCAGCUCCAAUAGCGUAUAUUAAAGUUGUUGCAGUUAAAAAGCUCGUAGUUGAAUUUCGGGAUCAAUGUUUCGGUCAUGCCGUUGGUAUGUACUGAUAUUAUUGAUUUCUCACCUUCUAAAGAACCGUAAUGCCAUUAAUUUGGUGUCACGGGGAAUUAGGACUGUUACCUUGAAAAAAUUAGAGUGUUUAAAGCAGGCUCACGCUUGAAUACAUUAGCAUGGAAUAAUGAAAUAGGACAUCCGAUUCUAUUUUGUUGGUUUCUAGGAUCGAUGUAAUGAUUAAUAGGGAUAGUUGGGGGCAUUAGUAUUCAAUUGUCGGAGGUGAAAUUCUUGGAUUUAUUGAAGACUAACUACUGCGAAAGCAUUUGCCAAGGAUGUUUUCAUUAAUCAAGAACGAAAGUUAGGGGAUCGAAGACGAUCAGAUACCGUCGUAGUCUUAACCAUAAACUAUGCCGACUAGGGAUCGGAUGAUGUUAAUUUUUUAAUGACUCAUUCGGCGCCUUACGGGAAAC